AGAGUUUGAUCCUGGCUCAGGAUGAACGCUAGCUACAGGCUUAACACAUGCAAGUCGAGGGGAAACGACAUCGAAAGCUUGCUUUUGAUGGGCGUCGACCGGCGCACGGGUGAGUAACGCGUAUCCAACCUGCCCACCACUUGGGGAUAACCUUGCGAAAGUAAGACUAAUACCCAAUGACGUCUCUAGAAGACAUCUGAAAGAGAUUAAAGAUUUAUCGGUGAUGGAUGGGGAUGCGUCUGAUUAGCUUGUUGGCGGGGUAACGGCCCACCAAGGCUACGAUCAGUAGGGGUUCUGAGAGGAAGGUCCCCCACAUUGGAACUGAGACACGGUCCAAACUCCUACGGGAGGCAGCAGUGAGGAAUAUUGGUCAAUGGACGAGAGUCUGAACCAGCCAAGUAGCGUGCAGGAUGACGGCCCUAUGGGUUGUAAACUGCUUUUAUAAGGGAAUAAAGUGAGUCUCGUGAGACUUUUUGCAUGUACCUUAUGAAUAAGGACCGGCUAAUUCCGUGCCAGCAGCCGCGGUAAUACGGAAGGUCCGGGCGUUAUCCGGAUUUAUUGGGUUUAAAGGGAGCGUAGGCCGGAGAUUAAGCGUGUUGUGAAAUGUAGACGCUCAACGUCUGCACUGCAGCGCGAACUGGUUUUCUUGAGUACGCACAAAGUGGGCGGAAUUCGUGGUGUAGCGGUGAAAUGCUUAGAUAUCACGAAGAACUCCGAUUGCGAAGGCAGCUCACUGGAGCGCAACUGACGCUGAAGCUC
RNAcentral lists this ribosomal RNA (759 nucleotides) under uncultured Prevotella sp. RNAcentral's name for it is "bacterial SSU rRNA". It matches the Rfam family "Bacterial small subunit ribosomal RNA", at positions 8 to 754 of the family's 1533-position model. The record is from RNAcentral. Lineage: Bacteria; Pseudomonadati; Bacteroidota; Bacteroidia; Bacteroidales; Prevotellaceae.